CCGUAACUAUAACGGUCCUAAGGUAGCGAAAUUCCUUGUCGGGUAAGUUCCGACCUGCACGAAAGGCGCAACGACUUGGGCGCUGUCUCGACCAUGGACCCGGUGAAAUUGCACUGGUCGUGAAGAUGCGACUUACCCGCGGAAGGACGGAAAGACCCCGUGAACCUUCACUGCAGCUUGGCAUUGGCCGCUGGUCCCGCGUGUAGAGGAUAGGCAGGAGGCAUCGAUCCGGAGGCGCCAGCCCCCGGGGAGCCGCCCUUGGAAUACUGCCCUCGCGCGACCGGCGUCCUAACCCGAGGCCGUCAACCGGCUCGGGGACCGUGCCAGGCGGGCAGUUUGACUGGGGCGGUCGCCUCCUAAAGGGUAACGGAGGCGCGCGAAGGUCCGCUCGGGACGGUCGGCAACCGUCCUUUUGAAUGCAAGAGUACAAGCGGGCUUGACUGCGAGGCCCACAAGCCGAGCAGGUGCGAAAGCAGGCUCUAGUGAUCCGGCGGCCCCGAGUGGGUGGGCCGUCGCUCAACGGAUAAAAGGUACUCCGGGGAUAACAGGCUGAUCUUGCCCAAGAGUCCACAUCGACGGCAAGGUUUGGCACCUCGAUGUCGGCUCAUCGCAUCCUGGGGCUGGAGCAGGUCCCAAGGGUACGGCUGUUCGCCGUUUAAAGCGGUACGCGAGCUGGGUUCAGAACGUCGUGAGACAGUUCGGUCCCUAUCCUCCGUGGGCGCAGGAGAAUCGAUGGAGGCUGCCCCCAGUACGAGAGGACCGGGGUGGACGCACCUCCGGUGAACCGGUUGUCGACCAACGGCACGGCCGGGUAGCCGCGUGCGGCGCGGAUAACCGCUGAAGGCAUCUAAGCGGGAAGCCGUUCCAGGGAUUAGUUCUCCUUCCGGUAAGGGCCCAGGUAGACUACCUGGUCGAUAGACGGCAGGUGCAAGGGCGGCGACGUCCUCAGCCGAGCCGCACUAAUCGCCCGAGCUCUUCCGGAA
RNAcentral lists this ribosomal RNA (983 nucleotides) under human gut metagenome. Its description in RNAcentral is "bacterial LSU rRNA". It matches the Rfam family "Bacterial large subunit ribosomal RNA", at positions 1934 to 2925 of the family's 2925-position model. The record is from RNAcentral.